RNAcentral lists this unclassified non-coding RNA (520 nucleotides) under uncultured Glomus. Its description in RNAcentral is "SSU rRNA". It matches the Rfam family "Eukaryotic small subunit ribosomal RNA", at positions 569 to 1090 of the family's 1831-position model. Lineage: Eukaryota; Fungi; Glomeromycota; Glomeromycetes; Glomerales; Glomeraceae. The record is from RNAcentral.
AGCAGCCGCGGUAAUUCCAGCUCCAAUAGCGUAUAUUAAAGUUGUUGCAGUUAAAAAGCUCGUAGUUGAAUUUCGAGAUCAAAUUGUUGGUCGUGCCUUGGUACGCACUGGCAUUAUUGGUUUCUCCCUUCUGACGAACCAUGAUGUCAUUAAUUUGGUGUCUUGGGGAAUCAGGACUGUUACUUUGAAAAAAUUAGAGUGUUUAAAGCAGGCUCACGCUUGAAUACAUUAGCAUGGAAUAAUGAAAUAGGACGUUUGAUUCUAUUUUGUUGGUUUCUAGGAUCGACGUAAUGAUUAAUAGGGAUAGUUGGGGGCAUUAGUAUUCAAUUGUCAGAGGUGAAAUUCUUGGAUUUAUUGAAGACUAACUACUGCGAAAGCAUUUGCCAAGGAUGUUUUCAUUAAUCAAGAACGAAAGUUAGGGGAUCGAAGACGAUCAGAUACCGUCGUAGUCUUAACCAUAAACUAUGCCGACUAGGGAUCGGAUGAUGUUAAUUUUUUUAAUGACUCAUUCGGCGCCUUA